Molecule: long non-coding RNA, 2011 nt
Filed under: Brassica rapa (field mustard)
Lineage: Eukaryota; Viridiplantae; Streptophyta; Magnoliopsida; Brassicales; Brassicaceae
Description: long non-coding RNA (BRAP_LNC003096)
Source: RNAcentral
GGUAUGAUUUUACAGCAGCUGUGUAAUCUUUUUUUAAACACUAAUUAUAUUAACCAACAGAGAUUACAGGGGUGGAGUACAGUUUAGGUUACAUUUGCCGGCAGGUUUAUAAAAAACCUCCAGAGUCCAAGGCUCCAACAACGGAGAAGCUAAGCCCAAACAUGGGAAUUAAAGAUAAGAACAUGAAUCAUCCUUAAUACUAACCGAUCUAAAAUAGAAGAAGUGAGGAACCAAACAAAAGAACCUUUACAAAACAGUGAACAAUAAAGCACGAUGACUUCAAAUGAACCCCUUUGAACGAGACAAGGCGAGGAUGCUAUCCAAAGCUAAAACCUCCGGCUUGUGACUCCUCCUAUAGAGAAUAAUCCAUGCGAUUAAGAGACCAGUGCUUCAAGCUUUCAAGAUCCAGGAGACAGAACAAUUUCAGUUCUUAAGUCUACAACCGGGAAUGCGUUGACGGAGAUAGAACGUCACGAGACGUCGAGAUGAAGCAAGACGAGAGAUAAGAACUCGAUCAAAUCUUUUGGUAAAUGACAAGGAGCGAGACAACUCAUAAAUGGGUUCAGCCAUUCUCGAGAGAUCAAGAAGGACGAAGAUCGAGACCCAAAAUGAGCCAAAGAGAGUUCAAAGCCAACAUGCAAAUCAUUUAACCCAAAAACAGGUUCAUAAUGCGACCAAAAAGAAGGGAAACAGAACCCAACUCACUUCAACUAGAUCGAUCAAUAUCACACACAAAGAACGACAUGCAAGCUCUCAUCCCCCGGUAAAGAUAAGAUCUAGAUCUGAAAUCCAACCAAAGAGGAAAACGAGAACAAGACAUGAAGAUCUAAACCGAUUGAAACCAAAAAGGAUGAUUCAAAGAAACUAAACCCGACUCCGGCUCUGAGAGAGCAACCGGAGUCGGAGAGCAAGCUUCAACAAUGGAGGAUUGAUGAGAGAAGGCUGAGUAUUUUUGAAGAGAGAGAAAGGGUGUAUUGGACAGCAGCUGUGUAAUCUAUUUAUGUUUUUAUUAAAAAUAAAUAUAUAAAAAAAAGAGAAGAGAUUUGUGGGUAUAUAAAAAGGAGAGGGGGUGAAGUUCGAAGCUAUCUUAUAAGUUAUUUUAGCUUUCAUUCCUUCUUUUGCUCUGAUCAAAAGAACUCUCUCUCUCUCUUCUCUGCCAUCUUCUGCGUUUUCUUCUCUGCCAAAGACAGAGAGAGAGAGUAGCAAUUCCUCAUUGAAAGAGAAAAAGAAGAACAAGUGUAACUAAAGAACAUAAUCAGUUUUGGUCUUUGUUUGCUUCUGAUUCGUUCUCACCUUCUUCUCUUCUCUAAUGUAAGUAACUCUUUAUUUUUCUCUGUUUUUUUUCCUCUAAAGAAGAGAAAACGUGAACAAAGAAUAAUAUUUUUUACACUCUGCUUUAACUUAUCCUCGUAACCGUGUCCUCUGCUUUAAUCACACCUGAAUCAUCUACCAAGUCGUAUAUAUCUCUCUCUUUCUUGUCUCUGUUCCUUGUUCACUUAGUUUUUGAUUCUUCUUCUCUCUGUAAAGUGUUGAGUGACCUAAACAAGCGUCAUAUUUUACUCUCAGAUCUACUAAAGGCAAAACAUAAAGAAAGCAAAAAAUGUCGGCGGGAGAAGAAGCAAUAGUAGCUAGCGGAAAUGACAACGAAGGAGAUCAGACCAACGGAAACCACACCGGAAAAACCGACGAAUACGACCCAUCCACCGGUUCUGCACUAAGCAACUUCCUCUGGCACGGUGGCUCCGUCUGGGACGCUUGGUUCAGCUGCGCAUCUAACCAGGUACGUGCUUCAAGAACCCUCAAAAAUUGAGGAAAAAAAAACAAGAAAAUAUUUUUUUCUGAAAUAUUUUUAAAAACAAGAAAAUCUUGAUUUCAAGAAUCCUCAAAAGAUCUUGCUUUGUUACCUUUUCAGGUGGCCCAAGUGCUUCUGACACUACCGUACUCGUUCAGUCAACUAGGAAUGUUAUCAGGAAUAGUACUCCAGAUCUUCUAUGGACUACUUGGAAGCUGG